Molecule: ribosomal RNA, 253 nt
Filed under: uncultured bacterium
Lineage: Bacteria
Description: partial 16S ribosomal RNA
Rfam family: Bacterial small subunit ribosomal RNA
Source: RNAcentral
UACGUAGGGGGCAAGCGUUGUCCGGAAUCAUUGGGCGUAAAGCGCACGUAGGCGGCUUUGCAAGUUAGAGGUGAAAGCCCGGGGCUCAACUCCGGAAUUGCCUUUAAAACUGCAUCGCUAGAAUUGUGGAGAGGUAAGUGGAAUUCCCAGUGUAGAGGUGAAAUUCGUAGAUAUUGGGAAGAACACCGGUGGCGAAGGCGGCUCUCUGGACCGAGACUGACGCUGAGGCGCGAAAGCGUGGGGAGCAAACAGG